This 10302-nucleotide long non-coding RNA is filed under the name Theobroma cacao (cacao). Its description in RNAcentral is "long non-coding RNA (TCAC_LNC004672)". The record is from RNAcentral. Lineage: Eukaryota; Viridiplantae; Streptophyta; Magnoliopsida; Malvales; Malvaceae.
AAUAUCCCGCUAUCGUAAGGUGAGUGAACUUGCAUUUCAAAAUGUUUUGGGGAAAUGUUUACGUGUUUCAAUGAAUCAUUUGGAAAUUUCAUCGAUUUUUGCUUUAAAAUUGCUUGGGAACAAGCCCUUGAUAAAAUGUUUGAUGUUGUGAAAUGUGAAAUGUGUAAAAGGAUCAAUCCAUAUGUUUUUGUAUAAUGUUGAUAUAUAUAUAUACUAUGUCAUAAAUGGUACCAUUGUGUGAUAACUGUAACCGUGCAUGUGCAGAGUGGGCAGUGCACAUGCCGGGUGAAUGACAAUGUUGUGAUAAUUGUAACCGUGCAUGUGCAGAGUGGGCAAUGCAUAUGCCGGUUGAAUGAUAAUGUCGUGAUAAUUAUAACCAUGCAUGUGCAAAGUGGGCAGUGCACAUGCUGGUAAUGAUGCACAUGAGUUAGGUGAGAUGGGGUGUCCGACUAUGUGCACGAUGUGGGGGGAUGCAUAUGAGCCGAGUGAGGUGAUGGUGGUGUAUGUGCUUAUAUAUAUAUAUAUAUUUACUAUAUUGAGAUGUUUGGAUUUAAUAUGUGAUUGCAUUGACUGUUGAAAACUUGAGUAUUGUUAAUGUGUUCAAUUUAAUGUGCAAUGUGGAAUGAGUGGAAUUUUCCCGAUGGCAGUGAAAGCCCUUGGAUUUUAUCUGGCCAGAAUUUCGUUGCAGCGAUAAUGCCUUUUCGCUGCUGUGAGAGUCAAUCUAUUAUGCUUGACUUGAUUGAAUUCUACUAAAGUUUUCACUUCUCAACUUCUUUGUUGUUCAUGAGUCUUUCGUAAUCAAGUGACUAAACGACCAAGGGUUUGAAUGAGGGGUUUUUAAAUAGAAAUAAACUAAAUUGCAUUGUUUUGAACUUAAGUGCAUCAUGAUUUCUAAACCUUCCUUAAAGUUGCUUGUUCCCUUCCUAUGUUCACUCACUGAGUUUAUACUCACAUUUUUAAAAUUCAUGUUUUAGGUUCCCUGAGUUAAAGGUGAUUGGAUCCUAGGACGAGGUGCUCCUCCCUAUACAUUGCUUGGUAGGUUUAAUGUGACAUUAAGUGUUAUCAAUCGUGCCCAGAGUCACUUCCCUGACAGUCAAGGUCUAAUUAUGUGUAUAUGAAUAUUUAAUGUGAACAUUAAGAAUCAUUGUUAAUCUAUUUAUGAAUAUAUUGGUGGAUGAUGCCAUUAUGAAUGUAUGAUUGGGUUUUAUGAAUCAUUUUCAAAUAAACGAUAUUUGAACAUUUCGAGCUUUGGAUUCUAAAGGAAUAGGGAUUAAUGUAUAAGAUCAAUUAAGUAGGCUUGCUUGGGCUUAGUGGGCUGAGCCCAUUGGGCCCUUGCGUCGGUCAUGGCCUAGAAAUUGGGCUAUGACAAAAAGCCCUAAAGUGAGUAAUAAGUUAAGAUUGAUUUUUUUAAGAUGUUGAUAAUGGCUAACAAUGGGAUUUGUGAGUGUUUUAUUGUUGAGGUUGUUUAUUUAUUUUUAGGGUGACUAGAGUAGUGAUAUAAAUAGCCACUAAAUGGUGAUUGAAAGCUAGUUAGGAUUAACUAGCUGAACUUGAGUUAAGAAAUAGCUUUUAGAAUUGUAUUUAUGCAAAUUGGGUUGGUUGUGAUGUUGGUGUGUAAUAGGUUCCAACAAGACCUCACAUCUUCAUUUGGAGCAAUAGUCGAAGUUAGAGUCGAGUAAAGGUUCAACAAAUAUCGGUGAGUGAACUGGCAUUUCAAAAUUGCUUUGGGAAAUAUAAAUGUAUUUGGAUGAAACAUUUGAAUGAUUUUAUCCAAACUUUCUUUAAAAAUGUGUACCGGGGAACAAGCCCUUGAUAAAAUGUUUUGAUGUUGUAAAAAUGUGAAAUGUGUAAAAGGAUGAAUCCAUGUGCUCCUAUAUUAUGUUGGUAUAUUUAUAUAUAUGAAUAUAUGUUGUGCAUUGAUGAAUAAUGUUGUGUGAUGAUGUUGAAGUGUGCGAAUAGGGAGUGCACAUGUGAUGAUGUUGAAGUGUGCGAGUAGGGAGUGCAAACAUGAUGAUGUUGAAUUAUGCGAGAAGGGAGUGCACACAUGAUGAUGUGAAGUGUGUGAGUGGGGAGUACACACAUGAUGAUGAUAUUGUAUUGAGCUGAGUGUGGCGAGAUGGUAUGCAUGAUGAUAUAUGUAUAUACAAAUAUAUAUAUAUAUAUAUAUAUAUGUUAUAGAAAGUUUAUGAAAAUAAUUGUGAUUGUGUUGUGUGUUGGCAUUGUUAAUUGCUCCCAAAUUGCUUUUCAUUUCAACAAGAAAAUGGCUUUUGAUGCAACAAGAUCCAUUUCAAUUAGAAUGCUCUAUUUCUCGUUGCAGCGAGAUUCAUUUUCGCUGCAGCGAGAAACUCUCAGGUUUUGGGGGUGACACUGGCCUGGUUCUCGCUGCAACGGGCAACUCUCAAGUUCUAAUGCAGUACUUUCAAUUUGACAAAGAUCUUGACCACGUUAUGUUCAAAGCUGGGCAAUCUAGUAAACAUCAAAGUUGUAGUCCAGCCUCUUAACUUUCUAAUGGUGCAAAAAUCAUGUCAAUUGGACUUCUGUAGUGGGAGAUAUGCUUGAAAAAUCAAAACAUAUGCAAACUAAGACUGUUUCUCACUGUAGCGAGAAACUUGCUGUCAUGCUUGCUAUCUUGCUUGAUUUUGACAUAUUUUUCACCCCUUUAACUUCAUGGAUUGAUCAUGGGUUUUUGCAACACUAUGAGGUUAUUAAUCAAAGUUUGAAAUGAGGGUUUUUUUUGUAAGAAAUUAAAUCAAUUGCAUUGUUUUUGAAACAAGUGCAUCAUGAUUUUCAAGUUCUUCUUAUCGAUUGCUUGUUCCCUUUUUAUGUUCACUCACUGAGUUUUAUACUCACAUUUUUAAACUUCAUGUUUUCAAAUUCGGAGGCAAUUGGGACCUAAAUUGGGUGUCCACAUAUGCUCGUCUUCUUGGUAGGCACUAUGGCAUCUUAAUAGCGGUACCUUCACUCAAAGUCACUCCACUGACGGUUGAGAGUCUUGUGUCUGUGUACACGUAUAUGUAAUGUGAACUACUAGGAGUCAUGUUAUAAAUGAAGUAUGUAUAUGUUGGAUUGAUGAUGAUGCCUUUAUGAGAUGACAAUGAAUGACAGUACUUUAAGAUAAUGAAAAUAUAAAUAUUCGGUUGCUAUAAAAUAUUACUAAAACAUUCAUCGUUGAGAAUUACAACACAUGGUUUUAAAGAUGAUGGAUGGAAUGAGGAAUAGGAUCUCAUAAAGAGGCUUGCUUGGGCCUAGUGGGCAUAGCCCAUUGAGCCCAUGAGCCGGUCAUGUCUUGAAAUUUGGACUGUGACAAAGGUGGUAUCAGAGCCCUAGGUUUAGUUGAGUCAUAGGGAUUCUUGUGUCAGUCAGCGAAGUUAUCGGAGUUAAUGUAAAGUCUUGUUUAUGGGUUGUGACUGCAGCAUAAGUCAUAGACAAGAGGCUAUAUGAAUUCCUAUUCCUAGUAACCUACCCUCUUGUUAACAUUAUGCAAAGGUCAUAAGUGGUGCCAUUGUCCGGGUUUGAAAUGCCACCCGAGACACGAGCUGUUGUUGGAAAGAUUUUAAGCAAAUGCUCAUAAUGAAAGGUUAAUGUAAUAACAAUCUCUCCGAUUAAAGGUGGAGGAAAUUGGAGUUGGACUAAUAGGUCCGUAAUGACUUAUUUAUUCAGUGGAGUUAUAAUUUAAGCCCAUAAUUGUCAAUGGGAAGAAAUUGAAUGACAUUGGAUCAUUAUUGAAGUCAAUAUAAAGGAACACGUAUGAUAAUGGUAAUAAGGGGCGCACUUUGACUGGAAUGAAUAAUGAGGGUUGUAAUUUACUUGUAGUUUAUAGAUCUAAGUAUUGAGGAAGGUGUAAACUGAUGUUUAUGUGCACGAAGGUAAGUGCACUAUGUUAAAUGAGCUUGUCAUGCCCCUAUAGAAAUGAUGUGGGCUUUUGAAAUAUUUUGUAACGUAUAAGUGUUGAUUAUGUGCAUAGCAGCUUAGAUGGAACUGGUUUCGAUUUCAAUUAAGUAAUGGCAAGAUCUCGAUGUUCGAUUUGAACUAUUAUGGUUUAUAGUUAUAAGUACAUGAAUUAGCUUAAAGGUGAAAUUCAAUGACUAUUAUAAUUGAUGUAUGGUCAUCAAGUGAAAGGUUGAUAAACAAAUUUUCUCUAAGGAGGAGCAUGAACUUUGUUAUGCUAUACGUGAGGUCAAAGGAUUAAAGGACUAGUUGUGGAUUUGAUAGCUUGAAGUUAAGUGACUAAAAGAUGUCAAAUCUAGUCUAAAUGCCAUAUGAAGUUCUAUAUUUGAGUUUGAUGUACGAAUUGCUUUAACGAUCAAUUUAAAAGUCUAUUGGGUUCAGUAUGCAAUCUAUGAUAAAAAUGAUCAGUUUUGAAUGUGAUCUCCAUAGAGGUAAAGGAUUUAGAAAAUAUCAAGUUUUGGAUUAGUUCUAAGAGGGAGUUUCUACAUCCUAAGUAUAAGAAAUUUUGAUUUUAUACCGUAAGGGCGAAAUGCAAUAGUUAAGUAAAUCAUUCACUUUAUAAAUGUAAUUAGUUAAGGAUUGGUGAGUAAAGUUAAGACCUUAACACUAAGUGGUGUACAACUUGAUGUUUAGGUAUUUAAGAGUUAUUUGGAAACAAAUGUCUAAUCAAGUUGCAUUGAAAUGUUAUGGUAAAGGUAUAUGAUUAUUAGUAGUGGAAUAUGCCUAAAGGAUGAUCCUGGCAUACCAUAAAAGGUGAAAUGUGGAGUAGACAUGUCAAAAUUGAGGAAAGUAAGAAAGGGGUUCUUACGCAUGGUAAUGGAUGUUGACAUUUAAAUGGAUGUGCAUAUGUAUAUGUGGAGUUAUUCAUGUCAUUGGUGGAAACAAAGAAUUGUUCUUAGCGAUUUAAGAUUUGAACACAAUAUGCUUGAUGGGUUGCAUAAGUGGUAUUAUAAGAUACUAAAUUAACAUAAUAUACGCUAUUGGAAAUAAUUAUGAAAAUGGGGGAAGCAUAAAUUCUAGAAUUUUGAAGUAAUGAUGUGAGCAUAAGUAGAAUGAUCAAGAUAAAAAAAAUUCAUGAUGAUACUAAGUUGAAGUGGUUAAACUAGUUGAGUUAUAAGAUAAGAGAGACAACUAGUUGUGAAUACUAAGGAAUUGUGGAACACUAGAAGUAGUGAAUAAUUAUGUGUGCGGUGUUAUAUGUACAUGGUGAAUUCAUUAUACAAUAUGGAAAGAUGUCCUAAUGUGGGAUUUAUUGAUUGGUGACAAGUGCUAAGGGAUGAGAUGAAUUUGAAAAUAUUGGCUUGGCCUAUUAUAUGUGAUAAACCUAUGGGAAUAUAAAUGGCUAUGGAAAUUGUGACGUAACCUUGAAGGAAAACCAAACGGUUGAGGAUGAUCAAUGUAGUAACCUUAAAUGUAGAUGAAUAACGUUGAUUAAGUAAACUCUAAUAGCCACCGCACCGCAGUGCUAGGAGCACCUCAUGUCUAGGACGUAUGAAUAAAAUGUGAAAGGCAUGAAGCUAAACUUACGAGCUGAAUUAUGGUCAUUUGGACUUGAUGUUAAGCUUCAUUAACUGGAAUUUUAAGGUUUUGGAAAAGUAUUUAUAUGAAUGAAUUGGAAAGUUUCUUUAUUGCCUUAUAUAUUGACAUGUAGGUAAAUGAGACAAGAGAUUAAGCCUUGUUAAAGGCUAAGGAAAGAGUGAAUGAAAAGUAAUGUAAAUAAUGGGAGGAAUAUGGAUGUUGCUAUGAUGAACAUAAGAAGCUUAAGAAUAAUCAAUGCAAGUAUACUAAGAUAGUUGUGUGGUCCAAAUUAAGGACAAGGACGCCUUGGGAGAUUUGAAAAUAAUGUCCGUUGUAACCGAUGAAAUGGAAUGUCAUUGGGCAUACAUUGGAUUGUUAAAGUUAUGAGUGGUUUUGAAGGUAAGCUUUUGAUUGUUUAAGUCCUCAACUGAAUUCCACCAAAGAAUGUGUUUAAGUGUUUCAGAAGUGUAUUGAAAAGCAUAAGAGAAUAUAUUAGUUAACUUGCCAUAAAAGAUCGAAAUGGUAUGGCGAUGAGAGACUCGUGAGCAACCAAACAAUGUAUAGGUAAAUGUGCAAGGGAGCUAUGAUUGGUAGAUAAGAGUAAACCUUUAAUGAUGAGAUAGUGUUCACUACUUUAGGUAGUGAACCAUAAGUUAUGGGCUUGUAUCCACUUUGUGAACACUUUGGUGAGAUAAUUUGAAGGGGUUCUCACAAUGUGAAAACAUUAAAGUUCAAGGAGCUAAUAGUUAUAUAGUGACGUUGGUGUUCGUGACUGAUAUGUCAUGUAGUACAAAGGUACGCUACAAGUCUAAAAAUGAUUGGAAAUGUUGGUUUGAGGUAAUGAUUAUCUUGCCAUUAUGUAGGCCUAAUAAUGUUACAGUCUCGAUAUGCUUGUGGAGGCAGAGUAUACAAUGGUAAAAAAAAAGUGUUUCCCUCACAUGUGUUCUUUCAUUUUGAGUAAUUAUCAAAGUAGAGUACCUAAUAAAGGUAAGCAAGGAUUGAACUAUGCUUUAAAUGCUUAGUGAAUAAUGGCGAUAUGCUCUAGCUAAUCGAUAUUACCCUUGGUGAGGAAAUAGCAGUACACAACGGGAUUCGUAGAGAUUUACUUGGGAAAGAGAUGAUCAUUUGAUAUUUCAAGUAAGCAUGUACAAGUAAAGAUUUUGGUAAUAAGCCAUGAUUUAGAGUUCAGAUGCAAGAAUAUGAAUUGGGACUAAGUAAUGUCGAGAUGACAUAAGAAUAUAACAUAUAUGUUGGAAGUAUGAAAGACAAUUAAGAAGUAAAGAAGACUUUUAAGGAUUUUGGUAUAGCAUAAAUGUAAUGAUCAAGUAAAGAUAAAUUUGAAUGAUCAACAAAAAAGUAAGGCAUACAUGGAUACUGGAGAGUAACUUGAUGAAAUGAUAAUUAGUGAUUGUGAUAUGUUUAUGACAAUGUGGCGCAAGGAUGAGCGAUAAGAUGAAGCUUACACAUUUGAUUAGAAAUGAUAUGAAAAGAGUAUAAGCAUGUAAAUUAUGUGAAGUUAUGCAUAGGCACAAUGAGAAUCUGGGUGGAUUACAUAAGAACCAAUUUAUGGUAGGAUGUAAAGUAAAUGGUGAUUUAAACAUUCGAAGGGGUAAUCUGGUGUUGAUUAUAUCCUAAUAUUCAUGGAUUAAACUUGACCUAUGGGAAUGAAAUGGAAAAGUAAAAAGGGAAACAUGAGCUAUGAGAAUAUGAUGAUGAACCUAGGUUAUGGAUUAGAAUGAAUAGAGGAAAUUUACUUCAAAGUAAUUGACGAGGGUUCCUACAUGUAGUGAUGGAUGAUGAUUCUUAAAUGUGUAUAUACAUACAUAUAUAUAUGAAGAUCAUUAUGUGAUUAAUUAAAGGGAAGAAUUAUUUAUAGUGAUUUGAGUUUUGAUUUUGAUAUGUUUAAUAAGUUGUAUAGAUGACAUGAUGAUGAGAGUUACCAUUAGAAAUUGAGCUAUGUGAAUAAAGAAGAAUUCAAGAACAAAAGAGAAAGAAAGGAUAUUAAGGAAUUGGAAUCUAUGUCGUGGUUGAGCCAUACCAAUGGAUUAAUAUGAUUAAGAUGUAAAGAUUAAGGAAGUUUUAUAUCAUAGUUAAAUUAGACUUCCACGAAGCACUAGUGCCACGAAUGGAUAAUAAAUGAUGAUAGUACCUUAAUGUGAGUAAUUGGAGGAAUUGAUUCAGAAGAUGAAACUUAACUUUGUUAAUAAUGAUUCAACAUAUGAGGAGCAACUAGUUGCUAUUCUUGAUAGACAAGUCAAAAGCUCCACUCAAAGGAUGUAGCCUCAGUGAAACCAAUAUAGCGAAACCACACCAGUGAAGAGGUAAUGGGGAGGCUAAAGAAGAGUUACGGAUAAAGUAUCCACACCUCUUCAAUGCAUAUAGAUGCACUAUCUUAUAGUUUGAUUCAAAUUUGGGGAUCGAAUUUCUUUUAGUGGGGGAGAAUGUGAGACCUCGACCUUCACAGACAUGUAGCGAAGGUAGACCCUAUGAUGUGGAACAGGGGUAGUUUGGUCAUUUUUUUGGUGAGCUCCUAGAAGUGGGUUUUCUAAUAUUAUUAAGGCCUAAGUAGGCCUAAGACAUAAAUGAAUGAUGAAAAUAAGGAUAAAAUGAUGAAGGAAAUAGAAAUAAUGAUGAUUUCCAAAGUAUGGUCAAAAUGGUCAUUUUUCAUCUCAGGUUGAAAGUUUUAAGUUUUUGUGAACUCGAGAAUUUUUUAUAGACUAUUAUGGACUUUAUCUCAUUGUCAAAAGAGUAAAAAGAUUGCAUAAAGGAUUGGAGGAAGACAAAGCCAACUUGUUAAGGGCAUUUUCGUAAUUUAAGUGAAGUUUGGAUAAGCUUAGGCUAUAAAUAUCUCAUUUCUCCAGUAGCUUCCUCAUUUUUUCAGCAGCUUCUUCUUCCUUUUCUCUUCCUCAUAUCACGUUUCUUCAUCUUCCAUGGAAGCCUCCCUUAAAGCUUUCAUAACUCUCUCUCUCUCUCUAGCUUCAAUUUUCAUGCUUUUAAGCACUUUUUCAUAGAACCUUUUGUGCUCUUUCACUCUCUCACCUUAAAACCCUCAAAAGUCUUUCCUCAACACCUUCUCUCAUUAGUUGGAUGUUCUAGAGAAAGAGAGAGAGAGAGAGAUUCUCUACAACAAUUCGAAAGUUCUUGAAAAGGAUUUCAACUACAAAAGCCCCAAGGUGAGUAAUAAGUUAAGAUUAUUUUUUUAAGAUGUUGAUAAUGGCUAACAAUGGGAUUUGUAAGUGUUUUAUUGUUGAGGUUGUUUAUUCAUUUUUAGGGUGACUAGAGUAGUGAAAUAAAUAGCCACUUAAUGGUGAUUGAAAGCUAGUUAGAAUUAACUAGCUGAACUUGUGUUAAGAAAUAGCUUUUAGAAUUGUAUUUAUGCAAAUUGGGUUGGUUGUGAUGUUGGUGUGUAAUAGGUUCCAACAAGACCUCACAUAUUCAUUUGGAGCAAUAGUCAAAGUUAGAGUCGAGUAAAGGUUCAACAAAUACCGGUGAGUGAACUUGCAUUUCAAAAUUUCUUUGGGAAAUGUAAAUGUAUUUGGAUGAGACAUUUGAAUGAUUUUAUCCAACCCUUCUUUAAAAAAGUGUGCUGGGGAACAAACCCUUGAUAAAAUGUUUUGAUGUUGUGAAAAUGUGAAAUGUGUAAAGGGAUGAAUCCAUGUGCUCCUAUAUUAUGUUGGUAUGUAUAUCUAUGAAUAUAUGUUGUGCAUUGAUGAAUAAUGUUGUGUGAUGAUGUUGAAGUGUGCGAGUAAGGAGUGCACACAUGAUGAUGUUGAAGUGUGCGGGUAGAGAGUGCACACAUGAUGAUGUGAAGAGUGCAAGUAGGGAGUGCACACAUGAUGAUGUUAGAGUGUGUGAGUAGAUAGUUCACACAUGAUGAUGUUGAAGUGUGCGAGUAAGGAGUUUACACAUGAUGAUGAUAUUGCAUUGAGUUGAGUGUGGCAAGAUGGUAUGCAUGAUGAUGUAUGUAUAUACAAAUAUAUAUAUAUAUAUAUAUAUAUAUAUGUUAUAGAAAGUUUAUGAAAAUAAUUGUGAUUGUGUUGUGUGUUGGCAUUGUUAAUUGCUCUCAAAUUUGCUGAAGUUUUUUGCUGCAGCGAGAAACUCUCGGGUUCUGGUACAGUAAUUUCACUUUGACGAAGAAUUUGACCACGUUUCAGUUAGAAAUAGGCAAUCUAAUAAAAGAUGUAGCCCAACCUCUUAGCUUUGUAAUGGUCUAAAAAUCAUGUCAAUUGGACUUCUGUAGUGGGAGAUUUGUUUGAAAAACUGAAACAUAUGCAAACUGAGAUUGUUUCUUGCUGUAGCGAGAAACUUGCUAUCAUGUUUGCUACUUUGCUUGAUUUUGACAUAUUUUUCACCCCUGGAACUUCAUGGAUUGAUCAUGGGUUUUUGCAACACUAUGAGGUUAUUAAUCAAAGUUUGAAAUGAGGGUUUUUUUAUAAGAAAUUAAAUCAAUUGCAUUGUUUUUGAAACAAGUGCAUCAUGAUUUCCAAGUUCUCCUUAUCGAUUGCUUGUUCCCUUCUUAUGUUCACUCACUGAGUUUUAUACUCACGUUUUUAAACUUCAUGUUUUCAGAUUCGAAGGCAAUUGGGACCUAGAUUGGGUGUCCACAUAUGCUCGUCUUCUUGGUAGGCACUAUGGCAUCUCAGUAGCGGUACCUUCACUUAAAGUCACUCCGUUGACGGUUCAGAGUCUUGUGUUUGUGUACACGUAUAUGUAAUGUGAACUACUAGGAGUCAUGUUAUAAAUGAAGUAUGUAUAUGUUGGAUUGAUGAUGAUGCCCUUAUGAGACGGUAAUUAAUGAUAGUACUUUGAGAUAAUGAAAAUAUGAAUAUUCGGUUG